Haliotis rubra (blacklip abalone) is the source of this 489-nucleotide long non-coding RNA. RefSeq lists it as uncharacterized. The transcript is spliced from 2 exons. Lineage: Eukaryota; Metazoa; Mollusca; Gastropoda; Lepetellida; Haliotidae. The record is from RefSeq and is a predicted model, not a curated record.
GAUGUGUAUCGAGCAUUGUAUGGUGCGCUUGUGGUAAGUAUGUUAAACCAUAAAUAAUUUCAGUUUCAUCAUUGUCGUUUUCAUGUAGUACUUUUCAUUCACUGAUUUGUAAGACAAGAAACUGCAAAAAGUUAUUCAGACACUGUAAACAGUUGGUUUUUUUAUCUGUGUUGUAUGGAGAGAAGCUGGCACACCGGGAAACGACCUUGGUCUAUCCGACUGCUGUGCGGGAGGCAGUGAGGGGUCGUUUCCCGGAGGAAACUCCAGGAAAAUACGAUGACCAAUACCUUACCAAGGGUCGCCAUGUCACAUUGGCAGAGAUAGCAUCAUUGAAAUUGAGGGUCCCCAAAACCUGUGCCAAGUGUAGGGCAACAAGACCAGCCAAACCAGAAAGAACCAGAUCUUCAUCUGCCCCAUACUGAGGAUACUUGUGUUGAAGAACACUUUUUCUUACUACAUACAUUGUAUUAAACUCAAUUUCACAAAGAA